This 115-nucleotide microRNA precursor is filed under the name Hordeum vulgare. Its description in RNAcentral is "microRNA MIR1122". It matches the Rfam family "MIR1120/MIR1122 microRNA precursor family". Lineage: Eukaryota; Viridiplantae; Streptophyta; Magnoliopsida; Poales; Poaceae. The record is from RNAcentral.
AUAGUACUCCCUCUGUCCGAAAAUACUUUUCAUAGGAAUGGAUGUAUCUAGAUGUAUUUUAGUUCUAGAUACAUCCAUUUGUGCGACAAGUAUUUUCGUACGGAGGGAGUAAUAG